GUCUAAAAGCUACAGCUUCUGGGAGCAAGUAGGCUUGUGGCAGUCAAGCACAGCCUUAGCUUGUUUGCAUUAGCAGCCAUCAGCUGUGAGGUGAUGGCUUAAGGAAAUGGAUAGGUACUGAGACUCGGGUUAUAAAGAAGCAUAUGGUGCUUUGCAGCUAUGGGUAUGUCCUGUAUUUCUCUUCUUUCUUGCUUAGUUCUGCUCAGCUAUUCAAGCAGCUGUCCCCUGCCUCAGUUUCCCUGUGUUACACAGAUUAUCUGUUGUUGUGCUGGGGCACUCGGACCUUCCAGAAGUGUCUGUGAUUCUUCAUAGCAUGCACUCAAAGGCAACUGUCCAGGAAAGGCUCCACAGUCUGCAGCAGCCCAGGGGAGAGACUGAAAUCUUCAAGUGGAAAUAAAUCAGAAGCCCAAAUAAAUCUCCUGCUCCAGAAACUCGUCUACUGGGUAUACAACACCAGCUGUAUGAAUGCAGUUUGCAUGUGGGAAACACAGCAAUGGCAGGGCUUUCAUUUUGGACUGCAAAGAACACCAGGUGCCCAAAGCACUGCUUUCUGCAGAGACAGGCAAGUGUCCAGACUCAGCAUGAAGGUGCUCUGCUCAUUCCUGUGUGACCCAAACAUGUUCCUAAACCAGACUGAGGCUCCCAGGAGCCCCCACCAUUAGGUUUGUGUCAGAUGAAUCCUAUUUGGGCAGAGCUUUGCUCUCAGGACCACCACCACCCCCUCCAGAUCUCAUGGGGGAGACCUCAGUGCAAUCACAGUGGCUCAGACAUACCCUGUCCCUGUGCUCUUGUGGCAUUGCAUCUGUUCAGCACUGGGAAUUGCCAACCCAAUCUACAAAGGUACCCAACAUCAGUUGUUCUCAAUAAUGCAUUUGGCUUUGGCCAAGAAAUUGCAGAUUUGUACAUGUAAUGUAGAGGUUGUAUGUGUAACGUAGAGGUUCUUGUUGUUCACCUGCGUAUCAAAAUCCACCCUCUGCCGCAUCAGGAUUUAAUUAUGAAACACUGCUGGGCCCGUCUCCAUUACAAUGUAAUUAAAAAAGCUUUGGGAUAUUGGAUAUGGAGCUGAUGGGGUUCAUUUUUGCCAGAAUGGAUAAAAUUCCUCCCAACGAGGCAGUUCUUCUCACCCAACCGAGCUGCUUUCUACUUACAAGGAGCUCUGAAUGCCUUCAAAACAGAAGGGCCUGACCCCAAGCUGGCUGAAAUCAAGGGAGAGACUCAGAGCUCGGAUGCUGGAGCCAAAAACCUCUUUUCAUUGGGAUUACAGAAUGAACUAUCGCACUGUUUAAGUUUCCCCUUUGACUGCGUAUGUUUUCUGGCUAAUACAGUUAGUCGGGAAUUGGCAUCAAACGUUUCUCGACACCUGCUUCAUGUCCUUCCAUGGUGGAGUUGUGGACAGGAUCACUGGAGCUAAAUCCUCCACUUGUGCCUUGGCUACACAGGCUGAACAUUCUGGGUUGGUUUUUAGCCUGCCUGGAGCCCAGUGCCUCGUGCUGGACGGCAACACAAAGACAUCCAGCCCGCAGUUCAAGUGGUGGAUAAUCCAUUGCUUUCCUUGCUCGUUUACUCCAUUGGUUAGUCACCCUCUUCAUUUAGGCUCCGUGCUUUAUUUUUAACUGAUGUGAGUGCCGAAAGCUCUGUUUUCUUUUUCCCACUGCAUGCCACCACGUUCCCCUACAGAGAUGAAAGCCGGCGACGUUUCCACGUUAUCCAGGUCACUGCCUACCAUCCACGGGAUGCAGUUGUUUCUCUGAGAUGCAUUUUUCUCUUCAUCUGCCUAAUAGUUCAGCAACCAUCACAAAUGCUCCUAAAGUGGAAGCGUUCGCCUGCUUACUCUUUUCAGAUGUCAACUUGGCAAGACAAAAUCCCAAUAUUUCCUGCGUGGGCUUGGCUGGAUUGAAUCACGGAGUGGUGCAAUGAAACAAACACGUCUCGCACAAUGCAAAGCAAG
Gallus gallus (chicken) is the source of this 1948-nucleotide long non-coding RNA. The record is from Ensembl. NCBI's taxonomy places the organism in Eukaryota, Metazoa, Chordata, Aves, Galliformes, Phasianidae.